UACGUAGGCAGCAAGCGUUGUUCGGAGUUACUGGGCGUAAAGGGUGUGUAGGCGGUUUUCUAAGUCUGGUGUGAAAUCUCCCGGCUCAACUGGGAGGGUGCGCCGAAAACUGGAAGGCUAGAGUGCGGGAUGGGAGAGUGGAAUUCCUGGUGUAGCGGUGAAAUGCGUAGAUAUCGGGAGGAACACCAGUGGCGAAGGCGACUACCUGGCCUGUUCUUGACGCUGAGGCGCGAAAGCUAGGGGAGCAAACGGG
This 253-nucleotide ribosomal RNA is filed under the name uncultured bacterium. Its description in RNAcentral is "partial 16S ribosomal RNA". It matches the Rfam family "Bacterial small subunit ribosomal RNA", at positions 524 to 776 of the family's 1533-position model. The record is from RNAcentral.